UAGAAAGAUAAGCUAAGUUAAGCUGUUAGGUUCAUACCCUAAAUAUAGAUUUAAUUCUUCCUUCUAA
RNAcentral lists this transfer RNA (67 nucleotides) under Cysteochila lineata. RNAcentral describes it as "tRNA-Met". Lineage: Eukaryota; Metazoa; Arthropoda; Insecta; Hemiptera; Tingidae. The record is from RNAcentral.